UGGCGGACGGGUGAGUAACGCGUGGGUAACCUGCCUCAUACAGGGGGAUAACAGUUGGAAACGACUGCUAAUACCGCAUAAGCGCACAGGAUUGCAUGAUCCGGUGUGAAAAACUCCGGUGGUAUGAGAUGGACCCGCGUCUGAUUAGCCAGUUGGCAGGGUAACGGCCUACCAAAGCGACGAUCAGUAGCCGACCUGAGAGGGUGACCGGCCACAUUGGGACUGAGACACGGCCCAAACUCCUACGGGAGGCAGCAUG
This 259-nucleotide ribosomal RNA is filed under the name uncultured bacterium. Its description in RNAcentral is "partial 16S ribosomal RNA". It matches the Rfam family "Bacterial small subunit ribosomal RNA", at positions 96 to 353 of the family's 1533-position model. The record is from RNAcentral.